GCGGGCGUAGUUUAGUGGUAAAACCUCAGCCUUCCAAGCUGAUGAUGUGAGUUCGAUUCUCAUCGCCCGCUCCA
RNAcentral lists this transfer RNA (74 nucleotides) under Acholeplasmataceae bacterium. Its description in RNAcentral is "tRNA-Gly". It matches the Rfam family "tRNA". Rfam says of the family: Transfer RNA (tRNA) molecules are approximately 80 nucleotides in length. Their secondary structure includes four short double-helical elements and three loops (D, anti-codon, and T loops). Further hydrogen bonds mediate the characteristic L-shaped molecular structure. tRNAs have two regions of fundamental functional importance: the anti-codon, which is responsible for specific mRNA codon recognition, and the 3' end, to which the tRNAs corresponding amino acid is attached (by aminoacyl-tRNA synthetases). tRNAs cope with the degeneracy of the genetic code in two manners: having more than one tRNA (with a specific anti-codon) for a particular amino acid; and 'wobble' base-pairing, i.e. permitting non-standard base-pairing at the 3rd anti-codon position. RNAcentral also lists the same sequence under 1 other name. Lineage: Bacteria; Bacillati; Mycoplasmatota; Mollicutes; Acholeplasmatales; Acholeplasmataceae. The record is from RNAcentral.